UACGUAGGGGGCUAGCGUUGUCCGGAAUCAUUGGGCGUAAAGAGCGUGUAGGCGGUCCGGUAAGUCCGCUGUGAAAGUCGGGGGCUCAACCCUCGAAUGCCGGUGGAUACUGUCGGGCUAGAGUACGGAAGAGGCGAGUGGAAUUCCUGGUGUAGCGGUGAAAUGCGCAGAUAUCAGGAGGAACACCUAUUGCGAAGGCAGCUCGCUGGGACGUAACUGACGCUGAGGAGCGAAAGCCAGGGAAGCAAACGGG
RNAcentral lists this ribosomal RNA (253 nucleotides) under uncultured bacterium. RNAcentral's name for it is "partial 16S ribosomal RNA". It matches the Rfam family "Bacterial small subunit ribosomal RNA", at positions 524 to 776 of the family's 1533-position model. The record is from RNAcentral.